Hyla sarda is the source of this 76-nucleotide small nucleolar RNA. The record is from RefSeq and is a predicted model, not a curated record. Lineage: Eukaryota; Metazoa; Chordata; Amphibia; Anura; Hylidae.
UUGCGAUGAUGUCUGAAUUUCUUCACCUGAAGCUGAUUAUGUGGAACAAAACACGAGCUUUUUAACACUGAGCGAU